GUGUGCUGGNUUCGCCCUUAGAGUUUGAUCCUGGCUCAGAGUGAACGCUGGCGGCAGGCCUAACACAUGCAAGUCGAGCGGCAGCGGGUCCUUCGGGAUGCCGGCGAGCGGCGGACGGGUGAGGAAUACAUCGGAAUCUGCCCUGUCGUGGGGGAUAACCUAGGGAAACUUAGGCUAAUACCGCAUACGACCUACGGGUGAAAGCGGGGGAUCGCAAGACCUCGCGCGACAGGAUGAGCCGAUGUCCGAUUAGCUAGUUGGCGGGGUAAAGGCCCACCAAGGCGACGAUCGGUAGCUGGUCUGAGAGGAUGAUCAGCCACACUGGGACUGAGACACGGCCCAGACUCCUACGGGAGGCAGCAGUGGGGAAUAUUGGACAAUGGGCGCAAGCCUGAUCCAGCCAUGCCGCGUGGGUGAAG
This 419-nucleotide ribosomal RNA is filed under the name Lysobacter sp. BAKZL1156. RNAcentral describes it as "bacterial SSU rRNA". It matches the Rfam family "Bacterial small subunit ribosomal RNA", at positions 1 to 410 of the family's 1533-position model. Lineage: Bacteria; Pseudomonadati; Pseudomonadota; Gammaproteobacteria; Lysobacterales; Lysobacteraceae. The record is from RNAcentral.